GUCUCUGUGUGUGUGUCUGUCUGUAUGUUUGUGUGUGUGUACGUUUGUGUGUACGUGUGCAUGUGUGUGCAUGUGUGUGUGCGCGCGUUUGCUCGCAAGGCGUGUGAUGCGUCAGUGCAGUAGUGUUAGAGCAGUUAGUGCCUGUAGUUAGGGUAAGCAUGCUACAUAAUGCAUGCCGCAUGCUACAUGCUACAUGCUACAUGCUGCAUGCUGCAUGCUGCUCCUGCUUGCCACUCUCUGAUUUCAGCUACUGCCACCGGACAGCCCCGCGUUUUCAGGGGCGGAAAGAGGAGCCCAGUGUGUCGCCUCCUCCGCCGGUACAUAGCCUCUCCACUGCCAAGACCUCGUACACGCCUCCCCGUGGCACACAUGGUAACUGGGCCCUCGUGGUUCCAGGCUAAGUUGUACAGGAUCUCGGAGCAGCAGUGGGCCCCAGAGACGCGGCAUGCAGGCCCAUCGGUGAGUGGAAACACCCUGAUGCCCGUCAACCACUGUCCCAGCUAUGGGUAAAUAGCCCCAGCUAUGGGUAAAUAGUCAAGACCCCGACAGCGGUGCAGGAGGAAGAUGGUGGUGUGAGAGCCACCACAACUUCUGGGUGGGAGGAAGAAGGCAACCCCAUAGCCGCGUGGGUAAACUCUGGAGGGUACAGCGGCUGGGGGAGCAAACCCUGUUGCGAUGUGUAGCGGAGGCGAUAAUGAGACGACUGUGAUCACCGGGCCCAGUCCUCCCAGACUAUUUAACCCCGCCUGCCCCGAGACCGGGCGGCCGCAUCCUCCAGACGGCACACCAACAUGUUUUCUCUAUGGUAACUACUGACAACACGCACCUCACAUUCUCCAUUACAUCCGUACACCUUCAUUGAUCACUGAAACUGACAAUCACACCUCAUCGUGCUCUUGUUUGCAUCAUUAUUUAAUAAAUGUCACUUUAUUAUUGUUA
This is a long non-coding RNA of Etheostoma cragini (Arkansas darter), 939 nucleotides long. RefSeq lists it as uncharacterized. The transcript has 2 exons. The record is from RefSeq and is a predicted model, not a curated record. Lineage: Eukaryota; Metazoa; Chordata; Actinopteri; Perciformes; Percidae.